RNAcentral lists this transfer RNA (73 nucleotides) under Camelus bactrianus (Bactrian camel). It matches the Rfam family "tRNA". From Rfam's summary of the family: Transfer RNA (tRNA) molecules are approximately 80 nucleotides in length. Their secondary structure includes four short double-helical elements and three loops (D, anti-codon, and T loops). Further hydrogen bonds mediate the characteristic L-shaped molecular structure. tRNAs have two regions of fundamental functional importance: the anti-codon, which is responsible for specific mRNA codon recognition, and the 3' end, to which the tRNAs corresponding amino acid is attached (by aminoacyl-tRNA synthetases). tRNAs cope with the degeneracy of the genetic code in two manners: having more than one tRNA (with a specific anti-codon) for a particular amino acid; and 'wobble' base-pairing, i.e. permitting non-standard base-pairing at the 3rd anti-codon position. Lineage: Eukaryota; Metazoa; Chordata; Mammalia; Artiodactyla; Camelidae. The record is from Rfam by way of RNAcentral. RNAcentral also lists the same sequence under 2 other names.
GAGGAUAUAGCUCAAGUGGUAGAGCACGUGCUUGGCGUGCACGAGGUCUUGGGUUCAAUCCCCAGUACCUCCU